AGUGAACGCUGGCGGUAGGCCUAACACAUGCAAGUCGAACGGCAGCACAGUAAGAGCUUGCUCUUACGGGUGGCGAGUGGCGGACGGGUGAGGAAUACAUCGGAAUCUACUUUUUCGUGGGGGAUAACGUAGGGAAACUUACGCUAAUACCGCAUACGACCUACGGGUGAAAGCAGGGGAUCUUCGGACCUUGCGCGAUUGAAUGAGCCGAUGUCGGAUUAGCUAGUUGGCGGGGUAAAGGCCCACCCAGGCGACGGUCCGUAGCUGGUCUGAGAGGAUGAUCAGCCACACUGGAACUGAGACACGGUCCAGACUCCUACGGGAGGCAGCAGUGGGGAAUAUUGGACAAUGGGCGCAAGCCUGAUCCAGCCAUACCGCGUGGGUGAAGAAGGCCUUCGGGUUGUAAAGCCCUUUUGUUGGGAAAGAAAAGCAGCAGGUUAAUACCCCGCUGUUCUGACGGUACCCAAAGAAUAAGCACCGGCUAACUUCGUG
This 492-nucleotide ribosomal RNA is filed under the name uncultured bacterium. RNAcentral describes it as "partial 16S ribosomal RNA". It matches the Rfam family "Bacterial small subunit ribosomal RNA", at positions 29 to 507 of the family's 1533-position model. The record is from RNAcentral.